AUAAAUAAUCCCAUUUAAUUUUGUCUUGGGGAAACAAAAUCGAAAACAUUUACAGUUAUACAGGUCUUUCAUUUUUUUUUUUUUUUGCAACUGAUAUUUACUUUACAAAAAACGGUGUGUGUAAUCGUGUGUAAUAAUCUAACGACAUUGAAUUUGAUUGACUCUGAUUUCUAAAUCGACAUUAUUGGUGUGGACCAGUUUCAGGGAAACCAUCUCUUCCGACGGCGAAAACUCGUACGAUGCUACAUCGACAAGGAAUAAGUUAUAAUCAGAAUUUCAGCACUGUUUCAAUAAUGUCGGUAUACAUUUUUGUAUUAUAUAUUUACUUACUCUUGCGACCUGUCAUAUUUCCACAUAGUUGUUUCCCGCCAACAUCAAGGUAGUUUGAUUCACAAUUAGUUUCAUCGGUGAUAUCGAAAU
Long non-coding RNA from Daphnia pulicaria, 420 nucleotides. RefSeq lists it as uncharacterized. NCBI's taxonomy places the organism in Eukaryota, Metazoa, Arthropoda, Branchiopoda, Diplostraca, Daphniidae. The record is from RefSeq and is a predicted model, not a curated record. The transcript has 2 exons.